CGUGUAGGCGGGGAUACGAGUCUGAUGUGAAAGCCCUGGGCUUAACCUGGGAAGUGCAUUGGAAACGGUAUUUCUUGAGUACUGGAGAGGAAGGGGGAAUUCCCGGUGUAGAGGUGAAAUUCGUAGAGAUCGGGAGGAAUACCAGUGGCGUAGGCGCCUUUCUGGACGGUUACUGACGCUGAGACGCGAAAGCGUGGGGAGCAAACAGGAUUAGAUACCCUGGUAGUCCACGCUGUAAACGAUGAGCACUAGGUGUAGCGGGUACUCAUUCCUGCUGUGCCGUAGCUAACGCGUUAAGUGCUCCGCCUGGGGAUUACGGUCGCAAGACUAAA
RNAcentral lists this ribosomal RNA (332 nucleotides) under uncultured bacterium. RNAcentral's name for it is "bacterial SSU rRNA". It matches the Rfam family "Bacterial small subunit ribosomal RNA", at positions 568 to 898 of the family's 1533-position model. The record is from RNAcentral.